UACGUAGGGUGCAAGCGUUAUCCGGAAUUAUUGGGCGUAAAGAGCUCGUAGGCGGUUUGUCGCGUCUGCUGUGAAAACUGGAGGCUCAACCUCCAGCCUGCAGUGGGUACGGGCAGACUAGAGUGCGGUAGGGGAGAUUGGAAUUCCUGGUGUAGCGGUGGAAUGCGCAGAUAUCAGGAGGAACACCGAUGGCGAAGGCAGAUCUCUGGGCCGUAACUGACGCUGAGGAGCGAAAGUGUGGGGAGCGAACAGG
This 253-nucleotide ribosomal RNA is filed under the name uncultured bacterium. RNAcentral describes it as "partial 16S ribosomal RNA". It matches the Rfam family "Bacterial small subunit ribosomal RNA", at positions 524 to 776 of the family's 1533-position model. The record is from RNAcentral.